GACGAACGCUGGCGGCGUGCUUAACACAUGCAAGUCGAACGGAAAGGCCCUGCUUUUGUGGGGUGCUCGAGUGGCGAACGGGUGAGUAACACGUGAGUAACCUGCCCUUGACUUUGGGAUAACUUCAGGAAACUGGGGCUAAUACCGGAUAGGAGCUCCUGCUGCAUGGUGGGGGUUGGAAAGUUUCGGCGGUUGGGGAUGGACUCACGGCUUAUCAGCUUGUUGGUGGGGUAGUGGCUUACCAAGGCUUUGACGGGUAGCCGGCCUGAGAGGGUGACCGGCCACAUUGGGACUGAGAUACGGCCCAGACUCCUACGGGAGGCAGCAGUGGGGAAUAUUGCACAAUGGGCGGAAGCCUGAUGCGGCAACGCCGCGUGCGGGAUGACGGCCUUCGGGUUGUAAACCGCUUUCGCCUGUGACGAAGCGUGAGUGACGGUAAUGGGUAAAGAAGCACCGGCUAACUACGUG
This 468-nucleotide ribosomal RNA is filed under the name uncultured bacterium. RNAcentral describes it as "partial 16S ribosomal RNA". It matches the Rfam family "Bacterial small subunit ribosomal RNA", at positions 28 to 507 of the family's 1533-position model. The record is from RNAcentral.